RNAcentral lists this ribosomal RNA (499 nucleotides) under uncultured bacterium. RNAcentral's name for it is "partial 16S ribosomal RNA". It matches the Rfam family "Bacterial small subunit ribosomal RNA", at positions 28 to 523 of the family's 1533-position model. The record is from RNAcentral.
GAUGAACGCUGGCGGCGUGCCUAAAACAUGCAAGUCGAGCGAGAAGUUUGAAAAAUGAGUUUUCGAACAAGUGAUUCAAACGGAAAGCGGCGGACGGGUGAGUAACGCGUAGGCAACCUGCCCCGUGCAGAGGGACAGCCUCGGGAAACCGGGAUUAAGACCUCAUGAUAUCGGGUUAUCACAUGGUAAUCCGGUCAAAGAUUUAUCGGCAUGGGAUGGGCCUGCGUCUGAUUAGCUGGUUGGUGGGGUAACGGCCUACCAAGGCGACGAUCAGUAGCAGAACUGAGAGGUUAAUCUGCCACAUUGGAACUGAGACACGGUCCAAACUCCUACGGGAGGCAGCAGUGAGGAAUAUUGCACAAUGGGCGAAAGCCUGAUGCAGCAACGCCGCGUGAGCGAAGAAGGCCUUUGGGUCGUAAAGCUCUGUCCUUGGGGAAGAAACAAAUGACGGUACCCUUGGAGGAAGCCCCGGCUAACUACGUGCCAGCCGCCGCCGUAA